Gopherus evgoodei (Goodes thornscrub tortoise) is the source of this 528-nucleotide long non-coding RNA. RefSeq lists it as uncharacterized. Lineage: Eukaryota; Metazoa; Chordata; Testudines; Testudinidae. The transcript is spliced from 3 exons. The record is from RefSeq and is a predicted model, not a curated record.
UCUGGAAAAGCUUCUCCCUGUUUCACCAUCUCCUCUCAGUCUGAGUCCCAGGGACCCUGCACGGGUGUCUGCAGGGCAGGACGAGCCCUGAAAUCUAGUAGCUGGGAGGUUUGCAGCAGUUUCUAACCCUCCCUCCCCUGCUUCUUCCAGGAGGCAACAAAAAAGCAUCUGGCCCCUCUGGGAAAAGAGAGAGAAGCAGCCAAAGCAGAGGAGGAGCGGCAAAGCUAGGAGCUGCUGAAACAGACAGAAGCCGAGAGGCAGAAGAUUGUCUGGGAGUGGCAGGAGCUGCGAGGGUUUCUGGAGGAGCAGGAGCAGCGGCUGCUGUCCCAGCUGGAAGAGCUAGAGAGAAGCAUAGUCCAGAGAAGGGAUGAGGGCAUCUGCAGCCUGUCCUGGGAGAUUUCCCUGCCCAGCGAGAGGGGAGGAGAGAAGGGGCAGCAGCUGCUGAGCCAACCCCUGCAGAGUGCUGGGAGCACUGGGGGCAGGUAAGUCCUGGGCUCCAUUUCGCUCCCCUCAUGGGCCGUUAGGUUU